Molecule: ribosomal RNA, 206 nt
Filed under: uncultured bacterium
Lineage: Bacteria
Description: partial 16S ribosomal RNA
Rfam family: Bacterial small subunit ribosomal RNA
Source: RNAcentral
UGCGUAGGCGGAGCGUUAAGUCAGUGGUGAAAUCCUGCAGCUCAACUGUAGAAUUGCCAUUGAUACUGGCACUCUUGAGUGCGCUUGAAGUAGGCGGAAUGUGCCGUGUAGCGGUGAAAUGCUUAGAUAUGGCACAGAACACCAAUUGCGAAGGCAGCUUACUAAGGCGAUACUGAGCUGAGGCACGAAAGCGUGGGGAUCGAACA